AUUGCAAGUUCAAGGCCACAGCAGAAGCGCUCAUGGAGCAGCCUGUCAGAUUUCAAUGAAUCUGCAAAUUCUCCU
This 75-nucleotide ribozyme is filed under the name Crocodylus porosus (Australian saltwater crocodile). Its description in RNAcentral is "Mammalian CPEB3 ribozyme (ENSCPRG00005011273.1)". It matches the Rfam family "Mammalian CPEB3 ribozyme". From Rfam's summary of the family: The mammalian CPEB3 ribozyme is a self cleaving RNA located in the second intron of the CPEB3 gene which belongs to a family of genes regulating messenger RNA polyadenylation. The record is from Rfam by way of RNAcentral. Lineage: Eukaryota; Metazoa; Chordata; Crocodylia; Crocodylidae.